CCUACGGGGGGCAGCAGUGGGGGAUAUUGCACAAUGGGGGAAACCCUGAUGCAGCGACGCCGCGUGGGGGAAGAAGGAUUUCGGUAUGUAAAGCCCUAUCAGCAGGGAAGAAGAAAUGACGGUACCUGAGUAAGAAGCACCGGCUAAAUACGUGCCAGCAGCCGCGGUAAUACGUAUGGUGCAAGCGUUAUCCGGAUUUAUUGGGUUAAAAGGGUGCGUAGGCGGGCUGUUAAGUCAGCGGUAAAAGCCCGGGGCUCAACCCCGGCGAGCCGUUGAAACUGGCUGUCUUGAGAUGUCGAGAGGUAUGCGGAAUGCGCAGUGUAGUGGUGAAGUGCUUAGAUAUUGCGCAGAACUCCGAUUGCGAAGGCAGCAUACCGGCGGCGAUCUGACGCUGAGGCACGAAAGCGUGGGUAUCGAACAGGAUUAGAUACCCUUGUAGUC
This 441-nucleotide ribosomal RNA is filed under the name uncultured bacterium. RNAcentral's name for it is "partial 16S ribosomal RNA". It matches the Rfam family "Bacterial small subunit ribosomal RNA", at positions 338 to 795 of the family's 1533-position model. The record is from RNAcentral.